This 608-nucleotide ribosomal RNA is filed under the name uncultured bacterium. RNAcentral describes it as "bacterial SSU rRNA". It matches the Rfam family "Bacterial small subunit ribosomal RNA", at positions 338 to 944 of the family's 1533-position model. The record is from RNAcentral.
CCUACGGGAGGCAGCAGUAAGGAAUAUUGGUCAAUGGAGGCAACUCUGAACCAGCCAUGCCGCGUGCAGGAAGACUGCCCUAUGGGUUGUAAACUGCUUUUAUCCGGGAAUAAACCUACUUACGUGUAAGUAGCUGAAUGUACCGGAAGAAUAAGGAUCGGCUAACUCCGUGCCAGCAGCCGCGGUAAUACGGAGGAUCCAAGCGUUAUCCGGAUUUAUUGGGUUUAAAGGGUGCGUAGGCGGCCUGUUAAGUCAGGGGUGAAAGACGGUAGCUCAACUAUCGCAGUGCCCUUGAUACUGAUGGGCUUGAAUGGACUAGAGGUAGGCGGAAUGAGACAAGUAGCGGUGAAAUGCAUAGAUAUGUCUCAGAACACCGAUUGCGAAGGCAGCUUACUAUGGUCUUAUUGACGCUGAGGCACGAAAGCGUGGGGAUCAAACAGGAUUAGAUACCCUGGUAGUCCACGCCCUAAACGAUGAACACUCGCUGUUGGCGAUACACAGUCAGCGGCUAAGCGAAAGCGUUAAAGNGUUCCACCUGGGGAGUACGCCGCAAGGUUGAAACUCAAANAGAGUGAGNGNGAGAGNGCGAGACGACGACGAGGAGGAGG